RNAcentral lists this ribosomal RNA (405 nucleotides) under Bacillota bacterium. RNAcentral describes it as "Firmicutes bacterium partial 16S ribosomal RNA". It matches the Rfam family "Bacterial small subunit ribosomal RNA", at positions 355 to 776 of the family's 1533-position model. Lineage: Bacteria; Bacillati; Bacillota. The record is from RNAcentral.
UGGGGAAUCUUGCGCAAAGGGCGAAAGCCUGACGCAGCAACGCCGCGUGCGGGAAGAAGGCCUUAGGGUUGUAAACCGCUUUCAGUAGGAACGAAAAUGACGGUACCUGCAGAAGAAGGUGCGGCCAACUACGUGCCAGCAGCCGCGGUGACACGUAGGCACCAAGCGUUGUCCGGAUUUAUUGGGCGUAAAGAGCUCGUAGGCGGUUGAGUAAGUCGGGUGUGAAAACUCUGGGCUUAACCCAGAGCCGCCACUCGAUACUGCUCUGACUUGAGUUCGGUAGGGGAGCAGGGAAUUCCUAGUGUAGCGGUGAAAUGCGCAGAUAUUAGGAGGAACACCGGUGGCGAAGGCGCUGCUCUGGGCCGAAACUGACGCUGAGGAGCGAAAGCGUGGGUAGCAAACAGG